GAAAAAAAAUCCAUAUUUCAAUGUAAAAUAAUACUUCCUCAAACAUUCAAAGUGUUGAACCCUACAAAUACAUACAACUUAGCUUAGCUUAAAUUAUUGUACAGAAACACAUAAGGUAGUAGAGAAACUCCCUCAUCAUAAGAACAUAACCACAAGGCUCCUUUCUCCGGAUUGCUCACUGAGAUUAUUGGAAUGCUAGAAGAACUCUUUGCAAGUCUAGAUAAACGACAACUGUUGUUUCCAAAAAAAAGCAAGAAGAAAUCACAAAACAU
Molecule: long non-coding RNA, 272 nt
Filed under: Ricinus communis (castor bean)
Lineage: Eukaryota; Viridiplantae; Streptophyta; Magnoliopsida; Malpighiales; Euphorbiaceae
Description: long non-coding RNA (RCOM_LNC003242)
Source: RNAcentral